This 505-nucleotide unclassified non-coding RNA is filed under the name Bombus terrestris (buff-tailed bumblebee). RNAcentral's name for it is "misc RNA ENSBTSG00005020152.1". The record is from RNAcentral. Lineage: Eukaryota; Metazoa; Arthropoda; Insecta; Hymenoptera; Apidae.
UCUAGAAAUAUGGCAAAGAGUUGCCUUGGAGAUUUUUUCCUAAUCUGUUCAUAUAAAAAAUAAGGAAAACGUAGAGAAUGAAGAAAGUGAACAAACGUUAUUAUCUGUUAUACAUGCAUCUUUGAAAAAUAUCAAACAUUUAGUAGUGGAAAAUAUAUUUUACAUCAGUAGAAGUGAACUCUUUGUAUGCAAAAUGAGAUAUAGGCAUUUAUUUAAUUUGUAUAAAAUAUAUUUCUUAUCAUCUUUUAUAUUAUUUUGAAAUAUCAUACUUUGUCAUACCAGGCAAAAAUUAUCAUAAAGAUAACAAAUUAUUAUUUAGUGUGUUGCUCAAUAAAUGUGAUGCAAAAAGUUUAAUGAUGAUAUGUGCUGUUAUAAUAAAAGAACAUUCAAUUUUAAAUCUGUAUACUAUGGUACUAAAUGCAAAAAACAACGGAUUUUAAUUGUAUAAAAUACCAUUUAGAAGCUUAUCUUUUAAAGUAUUUUAAUACCUGUAUAAAAAUGAGAC